GUGCCAGCCGCCGCGGUAAUACAGAGGUGGCAAGCGUUGUUCGGAAUUACUGGGCGUAAAGGGCGCGUAGGCGGCCUUCUUAGUCAGACGUGAAAUCCCUAGGCUUAACCUAGGAACUGCGUCUGAUACUGGAAGGCUCGAGUUCGGGAGAGGAAUGUGGAAUUCCAGGUGUAGCGGUGAAAUGCGUAGAUAUCUGGAGGAACACCGGUGGCGAAGGCGGCAUUCUGGACCGAAACUGACGCUGAGGCGCGAAAGCCAGGGGAGCAAACGGGAUUAGAAACCCCCGUAGUCC
This 292-nucleotide ribosomal RNA is filed under the name uncultured bacterium. RNAcentral's name for it is "partial 16S ribosomal RNA". It matches the Rfam family "Bacterial small subunit ribosomal RNA", at positions 505 to 796 of the family's 1533-position model. The record is from RNAcentral.